AUACGAAGGGUGCAAGCGUUAAUCGGAAUUACUGGGCGUAAAGCGCGCGUAGGUGGUUCAGCAAGUUGGAUGUGAAAGCCCCGGGCUCAACCUGGGAACUGCAUCCAAAACUACUGAGCUAGAGUACGGUAGAGGGUGGUGGAAUUUCCUGUGUAGCGGUGAAAUGCGUAGAUAUAGGAAGGAACACCAGUGGCGAAGGCGACCACCUGGACUGAUACUGACACUGAGUGGCGAAAGCGUGGGGAGCAAACAGGAUUAGAUACCCUGGUAGUCCACGCCGUAAACGAUGUCAACUAGUUGUUGGGUUCCUUGAGAACUUAGUAACGAAGCUAACGCGAUAAGUUGACCGCCUGGGGAGUACGGCCGCAAGGUUAAAACUCAAAUGAAUUGACGGGG
Molecule: ribosomal RNA, 396 nt
Filed under: uncultured bacterium
Lineage: Bacteria
Description: partial 16S ribosomal RNA
Rfam family: Bacterial small subunit ribosomal RNA
Source: RNAcentral